RNAcentral lists this ribosomal RNA (253 nucleotides) under uncultured bacterium. Its description in RNAcentral is "partial 16S ribosomal RNA". It matches the Rfam family "Bacterial small subunit ribosomal RNA", at positions 524 to 776 of the family's 1533-position model. The record is from RNAcentral.
UACGUAGGGUCCGAGCGUUGUCCGGAAUUACUGGGCGUAAAGAGCUCGUAGGUGGUUUGUCACGUUGUUCGUGAAAACCCACAGCUCAACUGUGGGCGUGCGAGCGAUACGGGCAGACUAGAGUACUGCAGGGGAGACUGGAAUUCCUGGUGUAGCGGUGGAAUGCGCAGAUAUCAGGAGGAACACCGGUGGCGAAGGCGGGUCUCUGGGCAGUAACUGACGCUGAGGAGCGAAAGCAUGGGGAGCGAACAGG